Molecule: ribosomal RNA, 256 nt
Filed under: uncultured bacterium
Lineage: Bacteria
Description: partial 16S ribosomal RNA
Rfam family: Bacterial small subunit ribosomal RNA
Source: RNAcentral
UACGUAGGGGGCAAGCGUUGUCCGGAUUUAUUGGGCGUAAAGAGCGUGUAGGCGGCCAUACAGGUCAGCUGUGAAAAACUCGAGGCUCAACCUCGAGACGUCGGUUGAAACCGUUUGGCUAGAGUCCGGAAGAGGAGAGUGGAAUUCCCGGUGUAGCGGUGAAAUGCGCAGAUAUCGGGAAGAACACCCGUGGCGAAGGCGGCUCUCUGGGACGGUACUGACGCUGAGACGCGAAAAGCGUGGGGGAGCGAACAGG